This 74-nucleotide transfer RNA is filed under the name Thiobaca trueperi. It matches the Rfam family "tRNA". Rfam says of the family: Transfer RNA (tRNA) molecules are approximately 80 nucleotides in length. Their secondary structure includes four short double-helical elements and three loops (D, anti-codon, and T loops). The record is from Rfam by way of RNAcentral. Lineage: Bacteria; Pseudomonadati; Pseudomonadota; Gammaproteobacteria; Chromatiales; Chromatiaceae.
GCGCCCGUAGCUCAGUUGGAUAGAGCAACGGCCUUCUAAGCCGUAGGUCGCAGGUUCGAGCCCUGCCGGGCGUG